RNAcentral lists this ribosomal RNA (501 nucleotides) under uncultured bacterium. Its description in RNAcentral is "bacterial SSU rRNA". It matches the Rfam family "Bacterial small subunit ribosomal RNA", at positions 29 to 502 of the family's 1533-position model. The record is from RNAcentral.
AACGAACGCUGGCGGCGUGGAUAAGACAUGCAAGCCGAACGAUUACUAGUGGGUAGCAAUAUUCGCUAGUGAGAGUGGCGCAAGGGUGCGUAACACGUGGGUAAUUUGCCGUGAAGUCUGGGAUAACUUGCUGAAAGGCGAGCUAAUACCGGAUGUGAUUACUGGAAGGCAUCUUCUGGUACUUAAAGUCGGGGACCGUAAGGCCUGACGCUUCUCGAUAAGCCCGCGGCCUAUCAGCUAGUUGGUGAGGUAACGGCUCACCAAGGCUAGACGGGUAGCUGGUCUGAGAGGACGACCAGCCACACUGGAACUGAGACACGGUCCAGACACCUACGGGUGGCAGCAGUCGAGAAUUUUUUCUCAAUGGGCGAAAGCCUGAAGGAGCGACGCCGCGUGGGGGAUGAAUGGCUUCGGCCCGUAAACCCCUGUCAUUUGCGAUCAAACCUCACGACCUAACACGUCGUGAGCUGAUAGUAGCGGAAGAGGAAGGGACGGCUAACU